Long non-coding RNA from Argiope bruennichi, 2534 nucleotides. RefSeq lists it as uncharacterized. The transcript has 4 exons. The record is from RefSeq and is a predicted model, not a curated record. Lineage: Eukaryota; Metazoa; Arthropoda; Arachnida; Araneae; Araneidae.
CUUAAUAUGAAUUUAUUCCCCCUAGUUGACGUUACACUAUCGCACGUCGUAUGGAAAAAUUCGUCCAAUUCGUGCUCGCGAAUAAAUUAAUCCUGAAGGGAUUAGAUAUCUGAGGUGCAAUAAAAUAUAAUUUCUAUUAAAGUAGCCGAGUCUAUUUGAACAACCACAGGUCCAGAAAUUAGAAAUAAUUUAGUUUGUUCCAUAGCAAAAUUCGAAAACAGAAGUUUGAAUGAUAUCGUGUAUUGAAUGCGGAUCAAUUCUAAUUGCCUUUUUGAAUUGAAUGAAGGGAAGUAAUAGCUAGAUCAGGGAUAGAAAUGUAAUCGAAUUAAUUAAGCAUUAGAAAUAUUGUCUUUAAAUGCAGCUGUUUUGAACGUAUAUGAAAGUAGGCAAAUUUCAUAUUGAAUUUAUCUAUCCUUUGAUGAUUAAAAAAUAAAUUAUCCUUUUCAUAAAACUUAAACAGUAGGUACAGCUUUAAGGCAAAUGAGGUUGUUCCAUUCGAGAGCAAUAUUUUAAAAGUAACCGCGGGAUAAUCUUUGUAAUUCCUAGUCUUCCAAAAUUUAAAAUUAAACACUAAAUUACUAGCUGGCCAUUCGUAUAUUUUUAAACUUUAGGAAAGCUAAGAUGCAUUGAAAUCUGAAUAUUUGGUAUUUUGAUUGAAUACGGAAGUAACAAUCUCUGAAUAUUUUAUAUAAGUAGCUUUCAAGUGACGAAGUGCCAUAUUAUGUGGAUUUUAUUUGGUAUGGUCUAAUGAUAUAGGAAAGAGCCAUAGCGAUUGCUUUCUUGUGCCGUUUCUGAAAAUAUGCAGAAUGAAUAUUUAAUUUGAUAAGUUUAUAGAGUUAAAAUAACCUUAGAGAUCCUUUAACUGCCUCACUCAUACCAGGAAGUUUGUUUUGAAUUCAUCAGAUUUUUCACUCAUUUAAAAGAAACUCAACCUCGCAGAAAUUAUCAACGAAACGAAUCCUGCAGUUAUUAGAGCAGCUCUCUGCAGACUAUUCAGAUGUUUGUUAGAGCAAACAACGCCUUUACUCAUAUGAGGAAUGACUGCCUUCUGGGCUCUUCGCAUAAAUUGUGUUGAUAGCAGCCAUCUGGAUGGCCAGGGGAGUCUCUCGGUUUCGCAAAGAAGUAAUAUCGUUUUUCAUAGGGUGGACAACUUGCCUGUGUUCAUGCCGUUUUGUUUUACAAAAGCAUGAUGUCAAUCGCCAUUACUGUUUUCUCAGUUCCAUGUACAUGCUAUCCAUCUGCACCAUUGCUGUAUGCGAGGAAGUAUUCUCUUAAGAUGACAUCCAUGUACAAGAAAUUCAAGGGCACAAUGUUGAAAGGUUUUGAAGCAAGUGAUAACGGCACGACAGAUAAUAUGGAGCUUCAACAACCGCAUAUUAGAAUUUAGAUCCUAUGGAAUCCGACAAACAAACCAACGAUUUAUUGGAUGAUUUAUAAAGCCUGAAAUAUUAGACUAAGUUUAAUGUAUCAAAUUUGUACCCAAAAAAAUUACUGGAACUUUGAUGACCUGCACAGUGGAUUGAUGGUGAAAGAAAUGUUUAAUCCCUGGAUAUUCCAGGAAAGUGGCUUCUGAGUGACGAGUCUGAAUUGCGUUACUUUCUGUCUGAGGUAGGGGAAAAACUAUGGCCAUUAUUUCUUGCGCUGUUUUCAAGAGAUGAACAGAAAAAGAGUGAGAAUUUGUUUUUAGAGUAAUAGUAGCAAGAAAUAUGGAGAUAUCAACUUAAAUUACUUUACUUAUACCUGAAAGUAUCCUGACGGAAUUCUUCGUGUUUACUCAUGAUGGAACGUCUUGUGAAUAGAAAGAGACAAUCUCCUGCAAUUGAUAUUGGAGCAGCACAUUCUACAAAGAAUAAAUUAGAGGCUACUUAAUCGAACAAAGACUUUAUACCACUCCUCAUCAGUGCAGUAAAUACCAUCUCGGCUCGAGCCGUAAAAUCUAAAUAUGAGAUGCCUGGAUUGGCGGAAAAAAUGGUACUGAAGUGAUAUCGGUAAGCUGCAAGAAUUCAUAACUGUCAAAUCGAAUUGAAAAUUGUAUCCAAACACUUUAUGUUGAAAUAAUUAGACCUAUAAAAAUUAUUAGAUCUAUUAGACCUAUAAAAAUGUUCUUAUUUCAUUGGGUAGUCAUAGGUCAGACAACUUACGACCAUUAUGCAUGCAUUUUUUCUUGGAUAAAAGUGUGCCGUCACCAUCAGUAAUACGGCUUUCUUGGUUCCAUAUACAAGCCAUCAAUACUCGCCACUUUCCUUAAGAUGUCAAUGUCUUAACCCAAGUGAUCACGGCACAAGAUACCAUUUGGAGCCAUCAACAUUGGAAUUCAGAGCCUUUUCAAUGGAACUAUGAAUGGAGAUCCAAUUUAUGCAGUUGAGUUUGUAAAAUUCAUUUUGGCUUCGCCUAAAUUUAUAUUAGUGUCAAAAAAUGAAUACAUAAAUGGUCUGCACAGUGGAAAUGUGAUUAUGUAUGCAGUCAAUAUUACUUGGACAUCAAUACGUCUUUCGAAAUAUUUUAUUCUGUAACAAAAUACUGAAUAUUUAAUU